UUUCCGCCAUCUUGAAUCUGUUGUCGGCCAUCUUGAAUCGAUUUCGUGAGGGAUUUUUGGGUCAAAUUUGGUCGUUUUCAACCGGGAUUUUUUCUUAAAACAUGGGCGUGUCCUCCCUAACUCUAACCCCGCCCCUUUUCCUCGCAGCCCCCGCCCACUCCCCCAGCGUUUUCCCGCUGGUCUCCUGCUCCUGCGACGGCGACCGGGUGAGUUUCGGCUGCCUGGCCUCCGGUUUCUUCCCGACGCCGGCGGCCAUCACCUGGGAGGGCGUGGCCUCAGGUGAGGCCCUGAGCUUCCCGGAAGUGAGCACGGCCAGCGACGCCCUGAGCGUCACCUCCCGCGUCACCGCGCCGGCCGAGGAGGCCGAGGGCGGGGAGUUCGUCUGCAGGGUCCAGCACCGGAGCAGCGACGUGCAGGAGAGCGUCACAGCCUGCCCCCCAGCCCCCGCCCUCUCCAUCUCCCUCCUGGCAGACCCCAACCAGGACGGCCACGCCCCCGACCCCGCCCACGUCCUCCUGCUGUGCCAGGUGCGGGGGCGGGGCGCGGCCGACGCCCGCCUCACCUGGGCGGUCAACGGCGACGUCACCGACCUGGGGGCGGAGCUUUCCAGCUGCCAAGAUGGCGGCGGCGCCGGUCACGCGACGCUGAGCGGGCGGGCCAACGUCAGCAGGGAAUUGUGGGAAGGCGGGGCUAAUUUCAGCUGCCAGGCCGACCACGCCCACCUGGACACGCCCCUGAGGGCGUCGCUCUCCACUUUCUGUCAAGGCCCCCAACCCUCCCCCUCCGUCCUCAUCCUCCCCCCCUCCCUCCGCGACCUCUACCUGUCCCCCUCCCCCAACCUCACCUGCGUGGCCUCCAACCUCAAAUCCCCCCGGGUCAAAUUCACCUGGGAACGUUCCGGAGGGGGCGGGGCCUUGGGCGUGGCCACUUCCGGCCCCGCCCACCGCCUUCCCAGCGGCCUCUACGAGCUCCGGAACUUUCUGGGCGUCUGCGCCGAGGAUUGGAAUUCCGGCGACGUUUUCACCUGUAAGGUCACCGAGGAGGAGACGGGGGAGGAGCUGAGCGCCAGCGCCAGGAAGGACGUGGACGCCGCCGCCGUCGCCCCCAAAGUCUUCGCCUUCCCGCCGCCCCCGGAGGAGCUGGCGGCGUCCGAGACGGCGACGCUGACCUGCCUGGCCAGCGGCUUCCGGCCGCGCGACGUCCUGGUCACCUGGACCCAGCAGGACGCGCCCGUGGACGAGCGGAAGUUCUCGGUGCUGGGGCCGGAAGAGGACGCCGGAAGUUCCGGAACGUUCUCGGUCUACUCGAAGCUGUCGGUGCCGGCGGAGGAGUGGAGGAGGGGGGACGUGUUCGGGUGCGUGGUGGGGCAUGAUGGGAUACAGGGGGUGCGGUUUAUCCAGAGGAACCUGGACAAGGCGGCGGCGCGGCCGGCCAGCGUCAACGUGUCCGUGGUGUUGGCCGACUCCGACCUCGUGUGCUAUUAAAAAAUUAA
Molecule: non-coding RNA, 1492 nt
Organism: Catharus ustulatus (Swainson's thrush)
Lineage: Eukaryota; Metazoa; Chordata; Aves; Passeriformes; Turdidae
Source: the annotation of a RefSeq genome assembly